Fopius arisanus is the source of this 1316-nucleotide RNA transcript. RefSeq lists it as uncharacterized. The transcript is spliced from 6 exons. NCBI's taxonomy places the organism in Eukaryota, Metazoa, Arthropoda, Insecta, Hymenoptera, Braconidae. The record is from RefSeq and is a predicted model, not a curated record.
CGGCACUAUUUCCGGAAUACUCUGCCAGCGGCGCUUACACGCAGUCAGUAAAUGCUGGAAAAACGUUGAGCGUCAUCCGAAGAACCAGUAAAAUUUAUCGAAUUUGUGGUUUCUUACAGUAUAUGUGCGUGUUUUUCCGAUUGUUUUGGCUUAAGUGGGUGACUGAAGGAGUCAAUGGUGAAUUUGUUUGCAAAUAUUUACCUAACGAUUCCUUCGACAGAACAGAUUUUUUUUGACAAAUAAGACACCAGCCCGCCUAAACUGGCUUGGGUACCCUGUGCAAUUGCUCUCCACUGCAGAGUCUUUGGAGAACGCAAAGAGACGAUUGAAAAUGGCAAAGGUCAAAGUAGACGUUGACACCACAGAUGCUAAAGACACUGCUCAAAAUAAUAAGAAAACGUCGAAAAAAACAGAUUUUCCAGCCAAUCGGCAACUGAAGCAGAUUGCGUCAAUGCGAAAAUUCGCUGCGGUCUAAAUCUCUGCUUCGCAUGAAAUCAGCGACCGUGAAUAUAACAGUUCUGAGAGUUCCAAAUCGCAGAAAAAAACAGGUCACGUUGAUCAUUUACUCGAAGAAAGAACAAAUAAUGCAUCACAGUUGGAACAUUUGAGAAAUCCAAUUGUCCAGAAACACUCGUCGAUGUCUGUCAUUCGGGAUAAGCGUUCUCGUGCAAAUACGUGAAAUCAUUCACUCAGAAGUGGAGAGCGCUAAAUUGAGUAUACUUCAUGAUCUAGCGGCAAUAGUUGGUCAGAUGCAGAAUACAGUUCUUCAAACUAACAUUCUUACUGCUCCACGUGGAUCGCCUAAUGAGUUGAUCAAAAAAUUGAAUACGAAAUUUGCUAUCCAACCUCUCAAUGAUUUCUUGGCUUUGGAAAAAAAACUUGAAGAUGAAAGCCAAACAGAUGCCCUGUGUUCUUUGUAUCAGCUGCUUUUGUCCGGAUUCAAUAAACCUUCAAAUUGUGCGAAAACAUUGAUGGGCCAUACUCUAUUAAAAGAGUUAUCACUGCAAUACUCUAGUUCAGGUAGAGAUAUAAAUGGCAAGGACAACUUGACGUGGAAAGAAACAAAAACUAGCCAAAUGAUGAAACAAGCCAUAAUCACUCAAUUUAAUGAUCAAACGGAAGAGGAUAUUCAGAAGCUGAAAACUACCUGGCUGUCAGGUGCAGGAGACAGAGCCGGUGGUCGUCGUGAACGAGAUGAAAAACGAAAAGAUCGAAACGGAAAUGAAAACUAAAGAUAAAUACCUGUUCAUCGCUCCUUGUGUUACCUAUUCCACAUGUUUAUUAUUUUAUAAGGUGAACUAUCGAGAUAAAGACUG